GCAGUGGUGGUUCAGUGGUAAAAUUCUGACCUUCCAAUUAGGAGAUCUGGGUUCGAUUCCCAGCCAGAACA
Molecule: transfer RNA, 71 nt
Filed under: Scleropages formosus (Asian bonytongue)
Lineage: Eukaryota; Metazoa; Chordata; Actinopteri; Osteoglossiformes; Osteoglossidae
Rfam family: tRNA
About the family: Transfer RNA (tRNA) molecules are approximately 80 nucleotides in length.
Source: Rfam by way of RNAcentral